AAGGCUGAACCUCCUCACAUGUUGGAGCUUUAAAGAUACAGCUGUAUCAGGCCAGGCAUGGUGACUCAUGCCUGUAAUCCCAGCACUUUGGGAGACCGAGGAGGGAGAUCGAGACCAUCCUGACUAACAUGGUGAAACCCCAUCUCUACUAAAAAUACAAAAAAUUAGCCAGACUUGGUGGUGUACGCCUGUAGUCCCAGCUACUCAGGGGGCUGAGGCAGGAGAAUCGCUUGAACCCAGGAGGUGGAGGUUGCAGUGAGCUGAGAUCACGCCACUGCACUCCAGCUUGGGCGACAGAGCGAGACUCCAUCUAAAAAAUACAGCUGUAUCAAAUCUGCUUGUGCUUUGGCCAUCUGAGAGAUCUUAAGUGUGCAACGCAAUGAGGAUGGAGCAACGUAUACACCAAUCAAGACAAAGAACAUGUCCAUUACCCCAAAAAGUUCUCUUACACCCACUUCCAGGUGAUGCCUCUGGCAACCAUGAGUUUGGCUUGUAGCAUCAAGACUUUACCUGUUCUUGAAUUUCAAUAUAUGGAACCAGGCAGGAGCAUAA
Pan troglodytes (chimpanzee) is the source of this 552-nucleotide long non-coding RNA. RefSeq lists it as uncharacterized. The record is from RefSeq and is a predicted model, not a curated record. The transcript has 2 exons. Lineage: Eukaryota; Metazoa; Chordata; Mammalia; Primates; Hominidae.